This 494-nucleotide ribosomal RNA is filed under the name uncultured bacterium. Its description in RNAcentral is "partial 16S ribosomal RNA". It matches the Rfam family "Bacterial small subunit ribosomal RNA", at positions 28 to 507 of the family's 1533-position model. The record is from RNAcentral.
GACGAACGCUGGCGGCGUGCUUAACACAAGCAAGUCGAACGGUGAAGCGCCUUCCUUUUUGGUGGGUGUGGAUGAGUGGCGAACGGGUGAGUAACACGUGAGUAACCUGCCCCCUUCUUCUGGAUAACCGCAUGAAAGUGUGGCUAAUACGGGAUAUUCUGGGUCUGUCGCAUGAUGGGUCUGGGAAAGAUAUUGUUUCGGUGGGGGAUGGGCUCGCGGCCUAUCAGUUUGUUGGUGGGGUGAUGGCCUACCAAGGCGGUGACGGGUAGCCGGCCUGAGAGGGUGGACGGUCACACUGGGACUGAGACACGGCCCAGACUCCUACGGGAGGCAGCAGUGGGGAAUAUUGCACAAUGGGCGCAAGCCUGAUGCAGCGACGCCGCGUGAGGGAUGGAGGCCUUCGGGUUGUGAACCUCUUUCGCCAGUGAAGCAGGCCUGCCUCGUUUGUGGGUGGGUUGACGGUAGCUGGAUAAGAAGCGCCGGCUAACUACGUG